RNAcentral lists this ribosomal RNA (519 nucleotides) under uncultured bacterium. RNAcentral's name for it is "bacterial SSU rRNA". It matches the Rfam family "Bacterial small subunit ribosomal RNA", at positions 8 to 526 of the family's 1533-position model. The record is from RNAcentral.
AGGGUUUGAUCAUGGCUCAGAUUGAACGCUGGCGGCAGGCCUAAGACAUGCAAGUCGAGCGAGAAAGUACUUCGGUACGAGUACAGCGGCGGACGGGUGAGUAACGCGUAGGAAUCUACCUAGUAGUGGGGGACAACUCGUGGAAACGCGAGCUAAUACCGCAUACGCCCUACGGGGGAAAGCGGGGAUCUUCGGACCUCGUGCUAUUGGAUGAGCCUGCGUAAGAUUAGCUAGUUGGUGGGGUAAAGGCCUACCAAGGCGACGAUCUUUAGCUGGUCUGAGAGGAUGAUCAGCCACACCGGGACUGAGACACGGCCCGGACUCCUACGGGAGGCAGCAGUCGGGAAUAUUGCGCAAUGGGCGAAAGCCUGACGCAGCCAUGCCGCGUGUGUGAAGAAGGCCCUAGGGUUGUAAAGCACUUUCAAUUGGGAGGAAAAGCUAAUGGUUAAUAGCCAUUAGCCCUGACGUUACCUUUAGAAGAAGCACCGGCUAACUCCGUGCCAGCAGCCGCGGUAAUUC